CCAAUCUACAGUCUUCUUUCUUUAUUAUUGAAUUAAUAAAUAUAAAUUAAUAAUAUUUUUAAUAUGUUAAAUAGGUUUGAUAAAUUUAUCUAUCAAAGUUUGAAGAGCUAGGACAAAAAAGAUAAGUAAUCCUAACACUUUUACUUGCUUUUGAAAUUAUUGAUUAUUUUAACAUGAAAAAAAUUAUUUUAUAUUUUCAUAGAAUAAAGAUCUAGCAUAUGCAUUGUGAAAUUCAUGAUUUAUCAUAAAAUAGUAAUUUAUGA
Molecule: long non-coding RNA, 263 nt
Filed under: Elaeis guineensis (African oil palm)
Lineage: Eukaryota; Viridiplantae; Streptophyta; Magnoliopsida; Arecales; Arecaceae
Description: long non-coding RNA (EGUI_LNC006497)
Source: RNAcentral